CGGGACACGUGGUAUCCUGUCUGAAUAUGGGGGGACCAUCCUCCAAGGCUAAAUACUCCUGACUGACCGAUAGUGAACCAGUACCGUGAGGGAAAGGCGAAAAGAACCCCGGCGAGGGGAGUGAAAAAGAACCUGAAACCGUGUACGUACAAGCAGUGGGAGCCUCUUAAUGGGGUGACUGCGUACCUUUUGUAUAAUGGGUCAGCGACUUAUAUUCUGUAGCAAGGUUAACCGAAUAGGGGAGCCGAAGGGAAACCGAGUCUUAACUGGGCGUUAAGUUGCAGGGUAUAGACCCGAAACCCGGUGAUCUAGCCAUGGGCAGGUUGAAGGUUGGGUAACACUAACUGGAGGACCGAACCGACUAAUGUUGAAAAAUUAGCGGAUGACUUGUGGCUGGGGGUGAAAGGCCAAUCAAACCGGGAGAUAGCUGGUUCUCCCCGAAAGCUAUUUAGGUAGCGCCUCGUGAAUUCAUCUCCGGGGGUAGAGCACUGUUUCGGCAAGGGGGUCAUCCCGACUUACCAACCCGAUGCAAACUGCGAAUACCGGAGAAUGUUAUCACGGGAGACACACGGCGGGUGCUAACGUCCGUCGUGAAGAGGGAAACAACCCAGACCGCCAGCUAAGGUCCCAAAGUCAUGGUUAAGUGGGAAACGAUGUGGGAAGGCCCAGACAGCCAGGAUGUUGGCUUAGAAGCAGCCAUCAUUUAAAGAAAGCGUAAUAGCUCACUGGUCGAGUCGGCCUGCGCGGAAGAUGUAACGGGGCUAAACCAUGCACCGAAGCUGCGGCAGCGACACUAUGUGUUGUUGGGUAGGGGAGCGUUCUGUAAGCCUGUGAAGGUGUACUGUGAGGUAUGCUGGAGGUAUCAGAAGUGCGAAUGCUGACAUAAGUAACGAUAAAGCGGGUGAAAAGCCCGCUCGCCGGAAGACCAAGGGUUCCUGUCCAACGUUAAUCGGGGCAGGGUGAGUCGACCCCUAAGGCGAGGCCGAAAGGCGUAGUCGAUGGGAAACAGGUUAAUAUUCCUGUACUUGGUGUUACUGCGAAGGGGGGACGGAGAAGGCUAUGUUGGCCGGGCGACGGUUGUCCCGGUUUAAGCGUGUAGGCUGGUUUUCCAGGCAAAUCCGGAAAAUCAAGGCUGAGGCGUGAUGACGAGGCACUACGGUGCUGAAGCAACAAAUGCCCUGCUUCCAGGAAAAGCCUCUAAGCAUCAGGUAACAUCAAAUCGUACCCCAAACCGACACAGGUGGUCAGGUAGAGAAUACCAAGGCGCUUGAGAGAACUCGGGUGAAGGAACUAGGCAAAAUGGUGCCGUAACUUCGGGAGAAGGCACGCUGAUAUGUAGGUGAAGUCCCUUGCGGAUGGAGCUGAAAUCAGUCGAAGAUACCAGCUGGCUGCAACUGUUUAUUAAAAACACAGCACUGUGCAAACACGAAAGUGGACGUAUACGGUGUGACGCCUGCCCGGUGCCGGAAGGUUAAUUGAUGGGGUUAGCGGUAACGCGAAGCUCUUGAUCGAAGCCCCGGUAAACGGCGGCCGUAACUAUAACGGUCCUAAGGUAGCGAAAUUCCUUGUCGGGUAAGUUCCGACCUGCACGAAUGGCGUAAUGAUGGCCAGGCUGUCUCCACCCGAGACUCAGUGAAAUUGAACUCGCUGUGAAGAUGCAGUGUACCCGCGGCAAGACGGAAAGACCCCGUGAACCUUUACUAUAGCUUGACACUGAACAUUGAGCCUUGAUGUGUAGGAUAGGUGGGAGGCUUUGAAGUGUGGACGCCAGUCUGCAUGGAGCCGGCCUUGAAAUACCACCCUUUAAUGUUUGAUGUUCUAACGUUGGCCCCUGAUCGGGGUUGCGGACAGUGUCUGGUGGGUAGUUUGACUGGGGCGGUCUCCUCCUAAAGAGUAACGGAGGAGCACGAAGGUUGGCUAAUCCUGGUCGGACAUCAGGAGGUUAGUGCAAUGGCAUAAGCCAGCUUGACUGCGAGCGUGACGGCGCGAGCAGGUGCGAAAGCAGGUCAUAGUGAUCCGGUGGUUCUGAAUGGAAGGGCCAUCGCUCAACGGAUAAAAGGUACUCCGGGGAUAACAGGCUGAUACCGCCCAAGAGUUCAUAUCGACGGCGGUGUUUGGCACCUCGAUGUCGGCUCAUCACAUCCUGGGGCUGAAGUAGGUCCCAAGGGUAUGGCUGUUCGCCAUUUAAAGUGGUACGCGAGCUGGGUUUAGAACGUCGUGAGACAGUUCGGUCCCUAUCUGCCGUGGGCGCUGGAGAACUGAGGGGGGCUGCUCCUAGUACGAGAGGACCGGAGUGGACGCAUCACUGGUGUUCGGGUUGUCAUGCCAAUGGCACUGCCCGGUAGCUAAAUGCGGAAGAGAUAAGUGCUGAAAGCAUCUAAGCACGAAACUUGCCCCGAGAUGAGUUCUCCCUGACUCCUUGAGAGUCCUGAAGGAACGUUGAAGACGACGACGUUGAUAGGCCGGGUGUGUAAGCGCAGCGAUGCGUUGAGCUAACCGGUACUAAUGAACCGUGAGG
This 2518-nucleotide ribosomal RNA is filed under the name Escherichia coli. RNAcentral's name for it is "partial 23S ribosomal RNA". It matches the Rfam family "Bacterial large subunit ribosomal RNA", at positions 418 to 2915 of the family's 2925-position model. The record is from RNAcentral. Lineage: Bacteria; Pseudomonadati; Pseudomonadota; Gammaproteobacteria; Enterobacterales; Enterobacteriaceae.